GCUGUGAGCAAUAGCUUGUGGAUAAUCCACAGGCCCCACUUCAUUCUUUGUAUACUAUCAUCACCAUCAAUGAACAGUGGGACCCCAAAUCCAAAAACAUAAAUUCCCUUAAAAAGUAUAUCCACACCCACAAUGAUUCCUGAGACAGCGAAAAUACGGGUUAAAGUUUCCAAUCCACUUGCAUAACUAUCCUGGAGCAAGAAAGCCAUUAAGCUAAUUUCCAAGCACAGCAUUGCGGAUCCUGUGAACAAUGACAGGAAAUUCCAAGCAAUCUCCUUCCCAGAAGAACAUUGCCAAGCCUGAAGACAGCACCAAGCGAGAUUGAGAGAGCUAGCCAACCAGAGAAGGGUAUAAUAGGAAAUCAUUAUGUAGGACCUCCCAUUCCAUAGCUUCCUCAAAUUCUUCUUCGCGUUGAUCCCCAAGUACACCACGAAUACGAUAGCCGGCAACACUAAAACAACACUGUACCAUGCCCCUUGACAUUUCCGGCCGCCGAUGGCAGGAAUGGUAUGGUCAGGCUGGAAGUCGAUUAUGGCGGG
RNAcentral lists this unclassified non-coding RNA (539 nucleotides) under Hevea brasiliensis (rubber tree). The record is from RNAcentral. Lineage: Eukaryota; Viridiplantae; Streptophyta; Magnoliopsida; Malpighiales; Euphorbiaceae.